Molecule: ribosomal RNA, 701 nt
Filed under: Caenorhabditis elegans
Lineage: Eukaryota; Metazoa; Nematoda; Chromadorea; Rhabditida; Rhabditidae
Description: partial 16S ribosomal RNA
Source: RNAcentral
AAUUUUACUUGUUUAAAUAUUGGUAUUGCAUACUAUUACAAUAAAAUUUCAUGUUAAUGAAAAAUAGAAACAAAGGGUAGAGUAAAUAUUAGUUUUAUUGUUUCAUACUAAAAAUUAUAUUUAUUAGAGUUGAUAUGUCGACCUUUGUGAUAAAUGUUUUUAUUUUUAUAUUAGAAAAUUAUAUAUUAUAUAAUUAUUUUAGGAAAUUUAAAAUUUGAAGUGUUUUAAAUUUAUGUUUUACAACAUUUUCCUAAUUUUAUUUAAGUUUAAUUUUUAAUUUAAUAAAGUUUUAUUAAAUAAAUAAUUUGUAAAUUAGUAAAUUUUAUAAAUUUAAUUUAUUAUUAAAAUAUAAUUGAAGAACUUGAAGUCUUGAUCAAAUGUUUUUUAAAGACUUAGGCUUUAUAUUAAAGCUGGCUUCUGCCCUAUGAUAUUUAAAUGGCAGUCUUAGCGUGAGGACAUUAAGGUAGCAAAAUAAUUUGUGCUUUUAUUGAGUUCCAGUAUGAAUGAAGUUAUUGGUUAGUUCUAUUUAUGUUUUAUGUUUGAAUUUAAUUUUUAUUUAAGAAAAAAUAAAUAUAUUUAUACAAAGAUAAGUCUUCGGAAAUUCUGUUAUUACACAAUUAAAUAAUUGUGUAAUAAAUUUUCUAGGGCAGAAUAUUAUAUAAUAGUAUUUCACUAUAUUUAAUUUAAAGAAUUACUCCGGA